Molecule: ribosomal RNA, 574 nt
Filed under: Naganishia diffluens
Lineage: Eukaryota; Fungi; Basidiomycota; Tremellomycetes; Filobasidiales; Filobasidiaceae
Description: partial large subunit ribosomal RNA
Rfam family: Eukaryotic large subunit ribosomal RNA
Source: RNAcentral
AAAAGAAACUAACAAGGAUUCCCCUAGUAACGGCGAGUGAAGCGGGAAGAGCUCAAAUUUGAAAUCUGGUAGCCUUCGGUUGCCCGAGUUGUAAUCUAGAGAAGUGUUUUCCGUGCCGGCCCAUGUACAAGUCCCUUGGAACAGGGCGUCAUAGAGGGUGAGAAUCCCGUCCUUGACAUGGACCCCCGGUGCUUUGUGAUACACUUUCAACGAGUCGAGUUGUUUGGGAAUGCAGCUCAAAAUGGGUGGUGAAUUCCAUCUAAAGCUAAAUAUUGGCGAGAGACCGAUAGCGAACAAGUACCGUGAGGGAAAGAUGAAAAGCACUUUGGAAAGAGAGUUAAACAGUACGUGAAAUUGUUGAAAGGGAAACGAUUGAAGUCAGUCAUGCUCUUAGGAUUCAGCCGUUCUGCGGUGUAUUUCCUUUGAGUGGGGUCAACAUCAGUUUUGAUCGAUGGAUAAAGGCACGAGGAAGGUAGCACUCUCGGGUGAACUUAUAGCCUCGCGUCAUAUACAUUGAUUGGGACUGAGGAACGCAGCAUGCCUUUAUGGCCGGGAUUCGUCCACGUACAUGCUU